RNAcentral lists this ribosomal RNA (291 nucleotides) under uncultured bacterium. RNAcentral describes it as "partial 16S ribosomal RNA". It matches the Rfam family "Bacterial small subunit ribosomal RNA", at positions 505 to 796 of the family's 1533-position model. The record is from RNAcentral.
GUGUCGGCAGCCGCGGUAAUACGUAGGGGGCAAGCGUUGUCCGGAAUUAUUGGGCGUAAAGCGCGCGCAGGCGGUCUUUUAAGUCCCGGGUUUAAACGCAGGGCUCAACCUUGUGUCGCCUGGGAAACUGGGAGACUGGAGUGCAGGAGAGGGAAGCGGAAUUCCACGUGUAGCGGUGAAAUGCGUAGAGAUGUGGAGGAACACCAGUGGCGAAGGCGGCUUCCUGGCCUGUAACUGACGCUGAGGCGCGAAAGCGUGGGGAGCAAACAGGAUUAGAUACCCCUGUAGUCC